Molecule: ribosomal RNA, 253 nt
Filed under: uncultured bacterium
Lineage: Bacteria
Description: partial 16S ribosomal RNA
Rfam family: Bacterial small subunit ribosomal RNA
Source: RNAcentral
UACGGGGGGGGCAAGCGUUGUUCGGAAUUACUGGGCGUAAAGGGCUCGUAGGUGGCCAACUAAGUCAGACGUGAAAUCCCCAGGCUCAACCUGGGAACUGCGUCCGAUACUGGCAGGCUUGAAUCCGGGAGAGGGAUGUGGAAUUCCAGGUGUAGCGGUGAAAUGCGUAGAUAUCUGGAGGAACACCGGUGGCGAAGGCGGCAUCCUGGACCGGUAUUGACGCUGAGGCGCGAAAGCGUGGGGAGCGAACAGG